Molecule: ribosomal RNA, 322 nt
Filed under: uncultured eukaryote
Lineage: Eukaryota
Description: partial 18S ribosomal RNA
Rfam family: Eukaryotic small subunit ribosomal RNA
Source: RNAcentral
CCCUUAGAUGUUCUGGGCCGCACGCGUGCUACACUGAGUGGAUCAGCGGGUCAGGUUGCGCGAAAGCGUUUCCUAAUCUUUAAAUCCGCUCGUGAUGGGGAUUGACGGUUGCAAUUUUCUGUCAUGAACGAGGAAUACCUUGUAAGCGCGGGUCAUCAUCCCGCGCUGAAUACGUCCCUGCCCUUUGUACACACCGCCCGUCGCUCCUACCGAUUGAGUGGUCCGGUGAGGCUUUGGGAUCUGAGCGGAAAGAGCGUUUCGCUGUUUCUACUCGGAAAACUCAGUCGAACCUUAUCAUUUAGAGGAAGGAGAAGUCGUAACA